GAUGAACGCUGGCGGCGUGCCUAAUACAUGCAAGUCGAGCGAACGGACGAGAAGCUUGCUUCUCUGAUGUUAGCGGCGGACGGGUGAGUAACACGUGGAUAACCUACCUAUAAGACUGGGAUAACUUCGGGAAACCGGAGCUAAUACCGGAUAAUAUUUUGAACCGCAUGGUUCAAAAGUGAAAGGCGGUCUUGCUGUCACUUAUAGAUGGAUCCGCGCUGCAUUAGCUAGUUGGUAAGGUAACGGCUUACCAAGGCAACGAUGCAUAGCCGACCUGAGAGGGUGAUCGGCCACACGGGAACUGAGACACGGUCCAGACUCCUACGGGAGGCAGCAGUAGGGAAUCUGCCGCAAUGGGCGAAAGCCUGACGGAGCAACGCCGCGUGAGUGAUGAAGGUCUUCGGAUCGUAAAGCUCUGUUAUUAGGGAAGAACAUAUGUGUAAGUAACUGUGCACAUCUUGACGGUACCUAAUCAGAAAGCCACGGCUAACUACGUG
This 497-nucleotide ribosomal RNA is filed under the name uncultured bacterium. Its description in RNAcentral is "partial 16S ribosomal RNA". It matches the Rfam family "Bacterial small subunit ribosomal RNA", at positions 28 to 507 of the family's 1533-position model. The record is from RNAcentral.